RNAcentral lists this long non-coding RNA (221 nucleotides) under Fukomys damarensis (Damara mole-rat). Its description in RNAcentral is "lncRNA (ENSFDAG00000025455.1)". Lineage: Eukaryota; Metazoa; Chordata; Mammalia; Rodentia; Bathyergidae. The record is from RNAcentral.
UGGUGGGUGGGCCCACGCGUGGGGCGGGAAGCAGGCCCGCUGUCACGCUAGCCGGUGCUGACCCUCUGGAGCUGCCCAGGAGACAAAGGUUAAAAGAGAGCGCCGCAGACCGGCUGGAACUGUCGGAAAGGGAGCUGAACUUGCUGGAAGUCUGGGUAAUCCACAAACACUUAGGGAAGGAAGUCAAGAACUAGGAAUUACUACUUAUAGCAAAGCAGCCA